Molecule: ribosomal RNA, 497 nt
Filed under: uncultured bacterium
Lineage: Bacteria
Description: partial 16S ribosomal RNA
Rfam family: Bacterial small subunit ribosomal RNA
Source: RNAcentral
GAUGAACGCUGGCGGCGUGCCUAAUACAUGCAAGUCGAGCGAACAGACGAGGAGCUUGCUCCUCUGACGUUAGCGGCGGACGGGUGAGUAACACGUGGAUAACCUACCUAUAAGACUGGGAUAACUUCGGGAAACCGGAGCUAAUACCGGAUAAUAUAUUGAACCGCAUGGUUCAAUAGUGAAAGACGGUUUUGCUGUCACUUAUAGAUGGAUCCGCGCCGCAUUAGCUAGUUGGUAAGGUAAAGGCUUACCAAGGCAACGAUGGGUAGCCGACCUGAGAGGGUGAUCGGCCACACUGGAACUGAGACCCGGUCCAGACUCCUACGGGAGGCAGCAGUAGGGAAUCUUCCGCAAUGGGCGAAAGCCUGACGGAGCAACGCCGCGUGAGUGAUGAAGGUCUUCGGAUCGUAAAACUCUGUUAUUAGGGAAGAACAAAUGUGUAAGUAACUAUGCACGUCUUGACGGUACCUAAUCAGAAAGCCACGGCUAACUACGUG